Molecule: ribosomal RNA, 468 nt
Filed under: uncultured bacterium
Lineage: Bacteria
Description: partial 16S ribosomal RNA
Rfam family: Bacterial small subunit ribosomal RNA
Source: RNAcentral
GACGAACGCUGGCGGCGUGCUUAACACAUGCAAGUCGAACGGAAAGGCCCUGCUUUUGUGGGGUGCUCGAGUGGCGAACGGGUGAGUAACACGUGAGUAACCUGCCCUUGACUUUGGGAUAACUUCAGGAAACUGGGGCUAAUACCGGAUAGGAGCUCCUGCUGCAUGGUGGGGGUUGGAAAGUUUCGGCGGUUGGGGAUGGACUCGCGGCUUAUCAGCUUGUUGGUGGGGUAGUGGCUUACCAAGGCUUUGACGGGUAGCCGGCCUGAGAGGGUGACCGGCCACAUUGGGACUGAGAUACGGCCCAGACUCCUACGGGAGGCAGCAGUGGGGAAUAGUGCACAAUGGGCGGCAGCCUGAUGCAGCAACGCCGCGUGCGGGAUGACGGCCUUCGGGUUGUAAACCGCUUUCGCCUGUGACGAAGCGUGAGUGACGGUAAUGGGUAAAGAAGCACCGGCUAACUACGUG